UCCGUGGCUCAAGAACGAACGCUGGCGGCGCGCCUAAUACAUGCAAGUCGAGCGAGAAGGUGUAGCAAUACACUUGUAAAGCGGGCGAACGGGUGAGGAAUGCAUGGGUAACCUACCCUCGAGUGGGGAAUAACUAGCCGAAAGGUUAGCUAAUACCGCAUACGUUUCCGGAACUUCGGUUUCGGAAAGAAAGCAAUACCGUGGGUAUUGCGCUCCUGGAUGGGCUCAUGUCCUAUCAGCUUGUUGGUGAGGUAACGGCUCACCAAGGCUUCGACGGGUAGCUGGUCUGAGAGGACGAUCAGCCACACUGGCACUGCGACACGGGCCAGACUCCUACGGGAGGCAGCAGUAAGGAAUAUUGCGCAAUGGACGAAAGUCUGACGCAGCGACGCCGCGUGGGGGAUGAAGGUCUUCGGAUUGUAAACCCCUUUCGGGAGGGAAGAUGGAGUGGGUAACCACUUGGACGGUACCUCCAGAAGCAGCCACGGCUAACUUCGUG
This 499-nucleotide ribosomal RNA is filed under the name uncultured bacterium. Its description in RNAcentral is "bacterial SSU rRNA". It matches the Rfam family "Bacterial small subunit ribosomal RNA", at positions 26 to 507 of the family's 1533-position model. The record is from RNAcentral.